AAUGUACUCCCUCCGUCCAAAAAUACUUGUCCAAGGAAUGGAUGUAUCUAGACGUAUUUUAGUUCUAGAUACAUCCAUUUCUAUUCAUUUCUGUGACAGAGGGAGUACACU
This is a non-coding RNA of Triticum aestivum (bread wheat), 111 nucleotides long. NCBI's taxonomy places the organism in Eukaryota, Viridiplantae, Streptophyta, Magnoliopsida, Poales, Poaceae. The record is from Rfam.